UAAGGAAUAUUGCGCAAUGGGCGACAGCCUGACGCAGCGACGCCGCGUGGGGGAUGAAGGUCUUCGGAUUGUAAACCCCUUUCGGCAGGGAAGAUGGAACGGGUAACCGUUCGGACGGUACCUGCAGAAGCAGCCACGGCUAACUUCGUGCCAGCAGCCGCGGUAAUACGAAGGGGGCAAGCGUUGUCCGGAUUCAUUGGGCGUAAAGAGCUCGUAGGCGGUUCGAUAAGUCGGGUGUGAAACCUCCAGGCUCAACCUGGAGACGCCACCCGAUACUGUCGUGACUAGAGUCCAGUAGGGGAGCGUGGAAUUCCUGGUGUAGCGGUGAAAUGCGCAGAUAUCAGGAGGAACACCAGCGGCGAAGGCGGCGCUCUGGGCUGGAACUGACGCUGAGGAGCGAAAGCGUGGGGAGCGAACAGGAUUAGAUACCCAAGUAGUCCCUGAGCGGGCUGGCAAGGCGCAU
Molecule: ribosomal RNA, 463 nt
Filed under: uncultured bacterium
Lineage: Bacteria
Description: bacterial SSU rRNA
Rfam family: Bacterial small subunit ribosomal RNA
Source: RNAcentral